Molecule: ribosomal RNA, 1372 nt
Filed under: uncultured bacterium
Lineage: Bacteria
Description: bacterial SSU rRNA
Rfam family: Bacterial small subunit ribosomal RNA
Source: RNAcentral
GAUGAACGCUGGCGGCGUGCCUAAUACAUGCAAGUCGAGCGAACGGACGAGAAGCUUGCUUCUCUGAUGUUAGCGGCGGACGGGUGAGUAACACGUGGAUAACCUACCUAUAAGACUGGGAUAACUUCGGGAAACCGGAGCUAAUACCGGAUAAUAUUUUGAACCGCAUGGUUCAAAAGUGAAAGACGGUCUUGCUGUCACUUAUAGAUGGAUCCGCGCUGCAUUAGCUAGUUGGUAAGGUAACGGCUUACCAAGGCAACGAUGCAUAGCCGACCUGAGAGGGUGAUCGGCCACACUGGAACUGAGACACGGUCCAGACUCCUACGGGAGGCAGCAGUAGGGAAUCUUCCGCAAUGGGCGAAAGCCUGACGGAGCAACGCCGCGUGAGUGAUGAAGGUCUUCGGAUCGUAAAACUCUGUUAUUAGGGAAGAACAUAUGUGUAAGUAACUGUGCACAUCUUGACGGUACCUAAUCAGAAAGCCACGGCUAACUACGUGCCAGCAGCCGCGGUAAUACGUAGGUGGCAAGCGUUAUCCGGAAUUAUUGGGCGUAAAGCGCGCGUAGGCGGUUUUUUAAGUCUGAUGUGAAAGCCCACGGCUCAACCGUGGAGGGUCAUUGGAAACUGGAAAACUUGAGUGCAGAAGAGGAAAGUGGAAUUCCAUGUGUAGCGGUGAAAUGCGCAGAGAUAUGGAGGAACACCAGUGGCGAAGGCGACUUUCUGGUCUGUAACUGACGCUGAUGUGCGAAAGCGUGGGGAUCAAACAGGAUUAGAUACCCUGGUAGUCCACGCCGUAAACGAUGAGUGCUAAGUGUUAGGGGGUUUCCGCCCCUUAGUGCUGCAGCUAACGCAUUAAGCACUCCGCCUGGGGAGUACGACCGCAAGGUUGAAACUCAAAGGAAUUGACGGGGACCCGCACAAGCGGUGGAGCAUGUGGUUUAAUUCGAAGCAACGCGAGGAACCUUACCAAAUCUUGACAUCCUUUGACAACUCUAGAGAUAGAGCCUUCCCCUUCGGGGGACAAAGUGACAGGUGGUGCAUGGUUGUCGUCAGCUCGUGUCGUGAGAUGUUGGGUUAAGUCCCGCAACGAGCGCAACCCUUAAGCUUAGUUGCCAUCAUUAAGUUGGGCACUCUAAGUUGACUGCCGGUGACAAACCGGAGGAAGGUGGGGAUGACGUCAAAUCAUCAUGCCCCUUAUGAUUUGGGCUACACACGUGCUACAAUGGACAAUACAAAGGGCAGCGAAACCGCGAGGUCAAGCAAAUCCCAUAAAGUUGUUCUCAGUCCGGAUUGUAGUCUGCAACUCGACUACAUGAAGCUGGAAUCGCUAGUAAUCGUAGAUCAGCAUGCUACGGUGAAUACGUUCCCGGGUCU